This 30-nucleotide non-coding RNA is filed under the name Homo sapiens (human). Lineage: Eukaryota; Metazoa; Chordata; Mammalia; Primates; Hominidae. The record is from RNAcentral.
CCGCAGUGUGACAAAUCUUGGAUGCCAAGU